This 497-nucleotide ribosomal RNA is filed under the name uncultured bacterium. Its description in RNAcentral is "partial 16S ribosomal RNA". It matches the Rfam family "Bacterial small subunit ribosomal RNA", at positions 28 to 507 of the family's 1533-position model. The record is from RNAcentral.
GACGAACGCUGGCGGCGUGCCUAAUACAUGCAAGUUGAGCGCUGAAGGUUGGUACUUGUACCAACUGGAUGAGCAGCGAACGGGUGAGUAACGCGUGGGGAAUCUGCCUUUGAGCGGGGGACAACAUUUGGAAACGAAUGCUAAUACCGCAUAAAAACUUUAAACACAAGUUUUAAGUUUGAAAGAUGCAAUUGCAUCACUCAAAGAUGAUCCCGCGUUGUAUUAGCUAGUUGGUGAGGUAAAGGCUCACCAAGGCGAUGAUACAUAGCCGAGCUGAGAGGGUGGUCGGGCACAAUGGGACUGAGACACGGCCCAAACCCCUACCGGAGGCAGCCGGAGGGAAUCUUCGGACAUGGACGAAAGUCUGACCGCGCAACGCCGCGUGAGGGAAGAAGGUUCUCGGAUCGUAAAACUCUGUUGGUAGAGAAGAACGUUGGUUAGAGUGGAAAGCUCAUCAAGUGACGGUAACUACCCAGAAAGGGACGGCUAACUACGUG